CAGCCGUAAACAAUGUGCGUUAGGUGUGUCGGUAACCACGCGUUACUGAUGCGCCGAAGAGAAAUCGUGAAACGCACCACCUGGGAAGUACGGUCGCAAGGCUGAAACUUAAAGGAAUUGGCGGGGGAGCACCACAACAGGUGGAGCCUGCGGUUUAAUUGGAUUCAACGCCGGACAUCUCACCGGAUAAGACAGCUGAAUGAUGGCCAGGUUGAUGACCUUGCUUGACAAGCUGAGAGGAGGUGCAUGGCGUAGUCGUGU
Molecule: ribosomal RNA, 261 nt
Filed under: uncultured archaeon
Lineage: Archaea
Description: partial 16S ribosomal RNA
Rfam family: Archaeal small subunit ribosomal RNA
Source: RNAcentral